This 405-nucleotide ribosomal RNA is filed under the name uncultured bacterium. Its description in RNAcentral is "partial 16S ribosomal RNA". It matches the Rfam family "Bacterial small subunit ribosomal RNA", at positions 30 to 526 of the family's 1533-position model. The record is from RNAcentral.
AUUGAACGCUGGCGGCAGGCUUAACACAUGCAAGUCGAACGAGUGGCGGACGGGUGAGAAGUGCUUGGGAAUCUCGGUUGUGGAGGGGGAUAAAUAGGGGAAAGUGUAGCAUAUACCGUGUAACAUAGGAUGCGCACAAGUGGGAUUAGGUAGUUGGUGAGGUAAAGGCUCACCAAGCCGACGAUCUCUAGCUGGUCUGAGAGGAUGACCAGCCACACUGGAACUGAGACACGGCCCAGACUCCUACGGGAGGCAGCAGUGGGGAAUAUUGCGCAAUGGGGGCAACCUGAUGCAGCCAUGCCGCGUGAAUGAAGAAGGCCUUCGGGUUGUAAAGUUCUUUCGGUAGCGAGGCGUUAACUACAGAAGAAGCACCGGCUAACUCCGUGCCAGCAGCCGCGGUAAUAC